CUACAUCUGCAGCUUUGGGGGGUGUAAACAUUAAAGCAUUGUUAGAUGAUGCAGCCGAUGAAGUAGGAGGAAAGAUUCUGUUGGAUUUUAAUGAUACAAUAGGUGACAGGAUUCAAGUGUAUCUUGAAUAACUGCAUUGCUGUCGAGUUCUCAGAAUUUUGAAAGAAAAUGCUAAACUCUCUACUUCCUAGAUAUUUGAACACUGGGAAUUGGUGUCCUGAAUCCAGGAUUGAUGAUUUGCUCCGGAAAACUGAAGCACGGUACUUAGAAGGAUCCAACCAGUGAACAAACAGCCUAUGACGUAUGAACCAUUAACUUGCCUUGCAGCAUCUAAAUUGAUGCUUAGACCCACUCCCGUCUUCGUUCUUGAAGUUUUAGCUUCCCCAGUUGCCUGAUUUCAGAAAAUUGAAAGAAUGGUGAUUUGAUACACCUAUGGAUACUUACAUCUAUGGAUACUAGCGGGACUAUGCCUGGAAUACGUUGUACAUGUUAUUAAAAUGCUUCAGCACCCACAAGCCGUGACAAAAUUCUCUGUUGUUGAUAUUGUUAAAGGGCAUUAACUACUAAUUAAACUAGAUACUCUUAUGGAGUAAGAAGUAACUAUAAAUAGGAUAAAUUACACCCUUUCUUAUUUGAUCCUUCACAAAAUAAAUUUUUUUGUUUGUGUUU
Molecule: non-coding RNA, 669 nt
Organism: Carica papaya (papaya)
Lineage: Eukaryota; Viridiplantae; Streptophyta; Magnoliopsida; Brassicales; Caricaceae
Source: RefSeq, a predicted model, not a curated record